Molecule: ribosomal RNA, 406 nt
Filed under: uncultured bacterium
Lineage: Bacteria
Description: partial 16S ribosomal RNA
Rfam family: Bacterial small subunit ribosomal RNA
Source: RNAcentral
AUUGAACGCUGGCGGCAGGCCUAACACAUGCAAGUCGAACGAGUGGCGGACGGGUGAGUAAUGUCUGGGAAACUGCCCGAUGGAGGGGGAUAACUACUGGAAACGGUAGCUAAUACCGCAUACCAUCGGAUGUGCCCAGAUGGGAUUAGCUAGUAGGUGGGGUAAAGGCUCACCUAGGCGACGAUCCCUAGCUGGUCUGAGAGGAUGACCAGCCACACUGGAACGGAGACACGGUCCAGACUCCUACGGGAGGCAGCAGUGGGGAAUAUUGCACAAUGGGCGCAAGCCUGAUGCAGCCAUGCCGCGUGUAGGAAGAAGGCCUUCGGGUUGUAAAGUACUUUCAGCGAGGAGGCGUUACCCGCAGAAGAAGCAACGGCUAACUCCGUGCCAGCCGCCGCGGUAAUUC